Papaver somniferum (opium poppy) is the source of this 770-nucleotide long non-coding RNA. RefSeq lists it as uncharacterized. The transcript is spliced from 2 exons. The record is from RefSeq and is a predicted model, not a curated record. Lineage: Eukaryota; Viridiplantae; Streptophyta; Magnoliopsida; Ranunculales; Papaveraceae.
CACAAUAGAAAUUAACCAAAGGAGAAAAAAGAUUCGGCCUCUAAGGCUCUAACCAAACCAGUCAAUCCAAAUUAUGGCUAUUACGAGGAUAUUUUCUGGUUCUUUUCUUGUUCUUUUCCUCCUGGCAAUCACCCGUAUCUCUGUUGUGGAAAUGACAGCGGUAAUCCAGAGGAGUACUGUUGUGGAAAGCAUGUCGCUGGAAGGAAAAGAAGCAUGUAACCCUAACGACUUGUACACAGACGUUCUCUGGGCUCCAACAUAAUAAAUGCACGGUAGCUAACAACAGUGUGCAUUGCGACUGUUGCUGCAAAAACAAUUUGCCGCCACCACCCCCUCCAUCGCCACCUUCACCGUCGCCACCCCGUCCAUCACCACCUCCACCAUCACCGUCACCGCCCCCUCCGUCGCCACCCCCUCCUUCACCACCUCCACCAUCACCAUCACCACCACCUCCAUGUCCAUCCCCAGAACCAUGCUCUAGCUGCGGAUGUUGCAACACGGACAUCGAUAUUCAGAUCUCUGUAAAACAAGGCGGCAAUGUCAAACUAUGAACACCGUCAUCAUCGUCUGUUGCUGAUCAUAGCCUCUGAUAUCAUUACUAUGUCUGCACUGUGUACUUGAUCAGAAUACUACUGGUCACACGUUUAUCUCUUUGCUAGCUAGCUACAACAAUAAGAUGAAGAAAAGUAUCAAUUAGACUCUAAAUAUGUAGCAACUACAGUAUUAAGUAAUUUUAGUUAAUUUGGAGUUUGAAACUCUGAAAAAAUUAA